This 253-nucleotide ribosomal RNA is filed under the name uncultured bacterium. Its description in RNAcentral is "partial 16S ribosomal RNA". It matches the Rfam family "Bacterial small subunit ribosomal RNA", at positions 524 to 776 of the family's 1533-position model. The record is from RNAcentral.
CACGUAGGGUGCGAGCGUUGUCCGGAAUUAUUGGGCGUAAAGAGCUCGUAGGCGGUGUGUCGCGUCGGCCGUGAAAACCCGCAGCUCAACUGUGGGCUUGCAGCUGAUACGGGCGGGCUGGGAUUCGGUAGGGGAGACUGGAAUUCCUGGUGUAGCGGUGAAAUGCGCAGAUAUCAGGAGGAACACCGGUGGCGAAGGCGGGUCUCUGGGCCGAUAUCGACGCUGAGGAGCGAAAGCGUGGGGAGCGAACAGG